RNAcentral lists this ribosomal RNA (654 nucleotides) under uncultured Hyphomicrobiales bacterium. RNAcentral describes it as "bacterial SSU rRNA". It matches the Rfam family "Bacterial small subunit ribosomal RNA", at positions 10 to 710 of the family's 1533-position model. Lineage: Bacteria; Pseudomonadati; Pseudomonadota; Alphaproteobacteria; Hyphomicrobiales. The record is from RNAcentral.
AGUUUGAUCCUGGCUCAGAACGAACGCUGGCGGCAGGCUUAACACAUGCAAGUCGAGCGCACAGUUUACUGUGAGCGGCAGACGGGUGAGUAACGCGUGGGAAUCUACCUUGAGCUACGGGAUAACAGAGAGAAAUUUCUGCUAAUACCGUAUGUGGCCUUUGGGCGAAAGAUUUAUCGGCUUAAGAUGAGCCCGCGUUGGAUUAGCUGGUUGGUGGGGUAAAGGCCUACCAAGGCGACGAUCCAUAGCUGGUCUGAGAAGAUGAUCAGCCACACUGGGACUGAGACACGGCCCAGACUCCUACGGGAGGCAGCAGUGGGGAAUAUUGGACAAUGGGCGCAAGCCUGAUCCAGCCAUGCCGCGUGAGUGAAGAAGGCCUUAGGGUUGUAAAGCUCUUUCACCGGUGAAGAUAAUGACGGUAGCCGGAGAAGAAGCCCCGGCUAACUUCGUGCCAGCAGCCGCGGUAAUACGAAGGGGGCUAGCGUUGUUCGGAUUUACUGGGCGUAAAGCGCGCGUAGGCGGAUAGAUAAGUCAGAGGUGAAAUCCCGGGGCUCAACCCCGGAAUUGCCUUUGAUACUGUUUAUCUUGAGUGCAGAANAGGUAAGUGGAAUUCCNAGUGUAGAGGUGAAAUUCGUAGAUAUUCNGAGGAACACC